ACGGGAGGCAGCAGUGGGGAAUAUUGCACAAUGGGCGCAAGCCUGAUGCAGCGAUGCCGCGUGAGGGAAGAAGGUUUUCGGAUUGUAAACCUCUGUCAACAGGGACGAAAAUGACGGUACCUGUGAAGGAAGCUCCGGCUAACUACGUGCCAGCAGCCGCGGUAAUACGUAGGGAGCAAGCGUUAUCCGGAAUUACUGGGUGUAAAGGGUGCGUAGGCGGCAUGGCAAGUCAGAUGUGAAAGACCGGGGCUCAACUCCGGGGCUGCAUUUGAAACUGCCAGGCUGGAGUACAGGAGAGGCAGGCGGAAUUCCUAGUGUAGCGGUGAAAUGCGUAGAUAUUAGGAGGAACACCAGUGGCGAAGGCGGCCUGCUGGACUGUUACUGACGCUGAGGCACGAAAGCGUGGGGAGCAAACAGGAUUAGAUACCCUGGUA
This 434-nucleotide ribosomal RNA is filed under the name uncultured Ruminococcus sp. Its description in RNAcentral is "bacterial SSU rRNA". It matches the Rfam family "Bacterial small subunit ribosomal RNA", at positions 341 to 792 of the family's 1533-position model. Lineage: Bacteria; Bacillati; Bacillota; Clostridia; Eubacteriales; Oscillospiraceae. The record is from RNAcentral.